UAGGGAAUCUUCCGCAAUGGACGAAAGUCUGACGGAGCAACGCCGCGUGAGUGAAGAAUGAUUUCGGUUCGUAAAACUCUGUUGUCAGGGAAGAAAAAAUGUAUAGUAACUAUAUACAAAAGAGACGGUACCUAACCAGAAAGCCACGGCUAACUACGUGCCAGCAGCCGCGGUAAUACGUAGGUGGCAAGCGUUGUCCGGAAUUAUUGGGCGUAAAGCGCGCGCAGGUGGUUUAGAAAGUCUGAUGUGAAAGCCCACGGCUCAACCGUGGAGGGUCAUUGGAAACUAAUAAACUUGAGUGCAGGAGAGAAAAGUGGAAUUCCUAGUGUAGCGGUGAAAUGCGUAGAGAUUAGGAGGAACACCGGUGGCGAAAGCGGCUUUUUGGCCUGCAACUGACACUGAGGCGCGAAAGCGUGGGGAGCAAACAGG
Molecule: ribosomal RNA, 429 nt
Filed under: Verrucomicrobiota bacterium
Lineage: Bacteria; Pseudomonadati; Verrucomicrobiota
Description: Verrucomicrobia bacterium partial 16S ribosomal RNA
Rfam family: Bacterial small subunit ribosomal RNA
Source: RNAcentral